Molecule: long non-coding RNA, 277 nt
Filed under: Ananas comosus (pineapple)
Lineage: Eukaryota; Viridiplantae; Streptophyta; Magnoliopsida; Poales; Bromeliaceae
Description: long non-coding RNA (ACOM_LNC035207)
Source: RNAcentral
UUUAUAAGUUCAAUCUUGACUUUACACUAGCUCUAGUGUUCAUUACAUCACUUUAUGUUGCAAACUCAUGCAAUCGUUAUUCUUUACUUUUCUUUUACUUUUGCUAACUCUAGCAAUUAUAUUCUUUACAUUUCUCGUUCUUACUGUCCCACUUUACUUUAACCUUACACAUUGUCAUUUUCAUCAUUCUUUACAUCACUUUAGUUCUUUACAUCACACUAACUCUAGUGUCUCUUUACUUUACAUUUUCCAAAUGCCACUCGAUCUAUGUCAUCGU